This 357-nucleotide ribosomal RNA is filed under the name uncultured fungus. RNAcentral's name for it is "eukaryotic LSU rRNA". The record is from RNAcentral. Lineage: Eukaryota; Fungi.
AGAGUUAAACAGUACGUGAAAUUGUUGAAAGGGAAACGCUUGAAACCAGUCAUGUCGGCGGGAAAUCAGCCGGGCCCUCGGGCACGGUGCACUUUCUCGUCGGCAGGCCAGCAGCAGUUUUGGCUGCCGGAAAAAGGCCAGGGGAAGGUGGCUCCAGCUCGCUGGAGUGUUAUAGCCCCUGGUUUUGAUACGGCGGCCGGGACUGAGGAACGCAGCCAACCCUUCUGGGGCUGGGUGCCCGCCUGCUGCGCUCCUGGGCGCGUGUGGAAAGCUUGCUUUCCCCAUGCGUGUUGGGGGGCACUCGGGUGGAGCAUCUCACGAUGGCUAAGGUUGCUGGCGUAAUGGUUUUAAACGACC